RNAcentral lists this ribosomal RNA (400 nucleotides) under uncultured bacterium. RNAcentral's name for it is "bacterial SSU rRNA". It matches the Rfam family "Bacterial small subunit ribosomal RNA", at positions 359 to 775 of the family's 1533-position model. The record is from RNAcentral.
GAAUAUUGCACAAUGGGCGCAAGCCUGAUGCAGCAACGCCGCGUGCGCGACGAAGGCCUUCGGGUCGUAAAGCGCUUUUCGGGGAGAUGAGUACGGACAGUAUCCCCGGAAGAAGGAUCGGCUAACUACGUGCCAGCAGCCGCGGUAAAACGUAGGAUCCGAGCGUUAUCCGAAUUCACUGGGCGUAAAGCGCAUGCAGGCGGCCGCACAAGUUGGAUGUGAAAUCUCCCGGCUCAACUGGGAGGGGACGUUCAAAACUGUGCGGCUCGAGGGCGGUAGAGGAAGGUAGAAUUCCCGGUGUAGUGGUGAAAUGCGUAGAUAUCGGGAGGAAUACCCGUGGCGAAGGCGACCUUCUGGACCGUUUCUGACGCUCAGAUGCGAAAGCUAGGGGAGCGAACGG